UAAAAACCUCUGAUUUGUCUGAGUUACAUCUGCACAUGAAUGAAGAUGAUGUUAAGAAGAAAACAAGGACAGAGGUGGAGCAUAGGAUCUGCAUGAACUGUAAUGGCACAGAACUGGGUCAAAUAAUACUUUGACUUUUCCUGGGCACAACUUCUCAGUGGCAAGAUCUAUUUAACUGGAAUGAGUAAAAGAAACUAGAAUAACUUAAAAAAUCAGAAUGGCUCUCUCCUUCCAGAAAAACUURGUCUCUUUAUAUCUGGAUAAUUGAUAUCCUCACAAGGUAAGUGCUCUGGUAAUCACAAAACAAUUAAACAGCUUAACACAGUUUUAACACACAGAAAAUGUUGAA
This 349-nucleotide long non-coding RNA is filed under the name Dromaius novaehollandiae (emu). RNAcentral describes it as "lncRNA (ENSDNVG00000004525.1)". The record is from RNAcentral. Lineage: Eukaryota; Metazoa; Chordata; Aves; Casuariiformes; Dromaiidae.